UUAGCGGGUCCGGAGGAAGGGUCCUUGGCGGGAGUGUGGUAGUCGUCCAUGUCUGUGUCCAGCAGGGUGACGCUGGGGCUGAACACCUGCAACAUGACACACUCCACUUAGCACAAACAAUACUGAUAAGUAGUCAAUCAAGUAGUCUGAAAACAAGUGCUAUCACUGAGACUACGACAAGCCCAUGACACACACACCCCGUGCUCCUCAACCCGAAGUGGAGGAUGAGAGUCAGACACACUCAGCACCGCCACUGUCUUGAUGCUUUCCCGUGAAAAGUACGUAUGUGCAGCGUAUGGCGUGAGGAAAUGACCAUCAGACACUGUUGUUAUCACCAUCUCCACCACCAUCACUACAUCCAUCAAAAACGACAACAUUGAUAACAAGAAAAGCAGGAUAAAACAAACAAUGCACCACCCAGGUGUUUAACACAGGAUACUUACAGAUUCACACGUCAUUAAAGAGUCAGAAGAAAGGAUCAGGCCUGUCUAUGGAGAAGAGAGAAGACCACGCGUGCAUUCACACCAAAACAGUCUUCAGUCUCUAUUGUGAUUCCCUACAUGCUCACAAGUCCUUGUCUG
Molecule: long non-coding RNA, 581 nt
Organism: Scylla paramamosain (green mud crab)
Lineage: Eukaryota; Metazoa; Arthropoda; Malacostraca; Decapoda; Portunidae
Exons: 4
Source: RefSeq, a predicted model, not a curated record